CGUGAUUACCCGCUGAACUUAAGCAUAUCACUAAGCGGAGGAAAAUAAACUUACGAGGAUUCCCCUUGUUACGGCGAGUGAAGAGGGAAUAGCCCAGCACCGAAGCCUGCGUUAAGUUUUCUGCUAGGCAAAGUGGUGUUUGGGUCGACUUGCGGGAUCUCCACCCCACUCGAAUUCCAUCACUGAGAGUGGUUCCCUGGAUUUGGCCCAGAGAUGGUGAAAGGCCAGGGCAAGCGGAGGUUCACACAUGUGAGGCAAUACACCAGGUCGACCUUCGAGUCGGGUUGUUUGGGAAUGCUGCCCAAAGCGGAUGGUAUACGCCAUCCGAUAGGAAACAAGAACCGUGAGGGAAAGUUGAAAAGUACUUUGAAGAGAGAGUAAACAGUACGUGAAACCGCAUAGAGGUAAACGGGUGGCGUCAAGCUGCAAGCCUAGAGGAUUCAGUUGGUCGGUGUGUAUGCGCGCCUGGCGCGUCUGUCGGACGGUCAGUCCACUGCGAAGUAGUGGGCCUGGUCUUCCCUCGGGAGGGGCAGGAUCGGUGUUCCGGGAGGUUGCCGGAGCCGGCUGUUUUGUCUGUCUGCGCAUAGUGUGGAUGGACCGGCCAAUGCACUUCCUCUAUCUGGUGAGCACCACGACCGCUGGAACUGCCAGUCUGCCGUUGUCAAGUCGGGUUUGGUCGGUGGCUCCUUUUGUGGUCGUCGGCUGAGCUUUUAUCAUCACGGGCGAAUUAAGUGAGCGGAUGUGUAGGCAUUCGCAUGCACACGUGUUACCGAGCACAGGUCGUCAACGGGUCUGUCUGUCGGUUGUGUGCAGUCGCCGGUGGAUGUCCUGGUGGGCAACGGUUGUAUGAAUUUUUUUGCAGGGCACCAGGGUUGUCGGUUUCUAGGAUCUGUUUCGUGCGCACACUGCAUGUGGGCGUGGGGUGUUGGUGUUGGCUGCCUAUUGCUGGGUCUGAAGGUGGUCUGAUGUUGGGUGGUUUUACAUUUGUCGCCUCCUGUGCGAGUUGGCGUUGGCCAAACAGUAUGUGGUGUUGUGGUAGACGAGCUAAACGACCCGUCUUGAAACAUGGACGAAGGAGUGUAUCAUGCACGCGAGUCAAUAGGUCCCGCGAAUCCCAAAGAAACUGUGAAAAUGAAGUCUUGACUUGUUCUCGGAAUGUUGUGAGAUGCGACUUUUUCUCGCACCUCGCCUUUCGAGUACAGCACCAGGCAGAAGAGCAGUGGUCGCAUCACAAGCUCGUCCCAUGGUGUGGUUGUUUGAAAGACGUGGAUAAUUAUGCGGUCUGCGUUGGAGAAGGCACGUCAUCCUGGCAGAGCAGGAGCGAGCCCGAUAAGAUUUGCAAUUUGGUGAAUUAUGCUUGCGUAGGUUUAAUCCAGAGGAAACUCUGGUUUAGGACCGCAGCGAUUCUGACGUGCAAAUCGAUCGUCAAACGUGAGUAAACGGGCAAAAGACUUAUCGAACCAUCGUGUAGCUGGUUUUCUCUGAAGUUUUCCUCAGGAUAGCUUGCACGCAUUCGCAAGAUCAGUUUUAUCCGAAUAAGCGAAGGAUUAGAGGUAAUGAGUUCGAAAGGAGCUCAAACUAUUCUCAAACUUUAAAUAAGUGAGAUGCCCGGCAUGCUUUGUAGGAGUAGGGCAAUGAAUGUGCAAGUGCCGAGUGGGUCAUUUUUGGUGAGCAGAACUGGCGCUGUGAGAUGAACAUAACGCCCGGUUAAGGUGCUUGAUGCUGACACUCGUGAGAUACCAUAAAAGGUGUUGGUUAAUAUAGACAGCAGGACGGUGGCCAUCGAAGUCGGCAUCCACAUAGGAGUGGGUAACAAAUCACCUGCCGAGUUGACAAGCCCUAAAAAUGGAUGGCGCUGGAGCGUAGGACAUAUACCGGGCCGUCACCGCAAGCUGGAUCGGUGGCUGUUUAUGGCUGUGCGAGCAGCACAUAGCCGGUUGCGUGAACGACAAUCGAUUGCUGUCUUGCGAAAACAUGAUCCAAGCAAGGAGGCGGUGGCGAGUAGGAUUGUCGCUUUGUUAAGCAUGAAAGCCUUGGACGUGAGUCUGGGUGGAGCCACCACGGGUUCAGAUCUUGGUGGUUGUAGCAAAUAUUCAAGUGAGAACCUUAAAUGCCGAGGUGCAGAAGGGUUCCAUGGGAACAGCAUUUGGCCAUGUUUCAGGCGGUCCUUUGCAAUCCGCUGUCUCGGUACAGAGACGUGGGGUGCCUUGCAUACUUCUAUCUGUGUGUGUGUGUGUGCGCGCGUGCAGCCGGCAGCCCCCCGGAGCGAAAGGGAAUCGGGUUAAUAUUCCCGACCCUGCCCACGGAGAUAGGCAAGCGUUUGGCUGGGCCGUCAGUGUGCGCGCUUUUUCGGCGUGUGCAGCUGUGGUCUGUGUCUGGGCGCUGCUAAGCGCGGUAACGCAACCGAACUCGGAGACAUCGGCUAGAGUUUCGGGAGGAGUUAACUUUUCUUUAAAAUGAGUGAUCAACACCCAUGGAAUCGGGUUGUCCGGAUAUAGGGGUAUCACCUCCGAAAAGCACCACCCCUCUUCUUGUGUCGAGAACACUUUGGUCAGUCCUUGAAAAUUCGAGGGAGGCAUUAUGUUUUUCGUGGCAGGCCGUACCCAUAUCCGCAUCAGGUCUCCAAGGUGAACAGCCUCUGGCAAUAGAAUAAUGUAGGUAAGGGAAGUCGGCAUAUUUGAUCCGUAACCUCGGAAAAAGGAUUGGCUCUGAGGGCCGAGUCAGACACGCUGGGCAAAGAAACGUGUCUGCUCAAGCUGCGGCUGGCUAGUCGGCUAGCUGGACUGUGGCUGCAACUGCUGCUGCUGGGUUAACGCCGCUGCUUCCGUUGUGUGCGUGUGU
RNAcentral lists this non-coding RNA (2841 nucleotides) under Schistocephalus solidus. RNAcentral's name for it is "Eukaryotic large subunit ribosomal RNA". It matches the Rfam family "Eukaryotic large subunit ribosomal RNA", at positions 16 to 2088 of the family's 3401-position model. The record is from Rfam by way of RNAcentral. Lineage: Eukaryota; Metazoa; Platyhelminthes; Cestoda; Diphyllobothriidea; Diphyllobothriidae.